Molecule: ribosomal RNA, 465 nt
Filed under: uncultured bacterium
Lineage: Bacteria
Description: SSU rRNA
Rfam family: Bacterial small subunit ribosomal RNA
Source: RNAcentral
AGGAUUAACGCUGGCGGCGUGCCUAACACAUGCAAGUCGAACGAGGUAGCAAUACCUAGUGGCAGACGGGUGAGUAACGCGUGGUCAACCUACCGUUGAGUGGGGGAUAACUAGCCGAAAGGUUAGCUAAUACCGCAUACGAGUCUCGGGGGCAUCCCUGGGCCUUAAAAGGAGCAAUCCGCUCGAUGACGGGACCGCGUCCCAUUAGCUAGAUGGUGGGGUAAUGGCCUACCAUGGCUCCGAUGGGUAGCUGGUUUGAGAGAGCGACCAGCCACACUGGGACUGAGAAACGGCCCAGACUCCUACGGGAGGCAGCAGUGAGGAAUUUUCCGCAAUGGGCGAAAGCCUGACGGAGCGACGCCGCGUGUGGGAAGAAGGCCUUCGGGUCGUAAACCACUGUCGAAGGGGACGAUAAUGACGGUACCCUUGGAGGAAGCCCCGGCUAACGUACGUGCCAGCAGCCGC